Molecule: ribosomal RNA, 468 nt
Filed under: uncultured bacterium
Lineage: Bacteria
Description: partial 16S ribosomal RNA
Rfam family: Bacterial small subunit ribosomal RNA
Source: RNAcentral
GACGAACGCUGGCGGCGUGCUUAACACAUGCAAGUCGAACGGAAAGGCCCUGCUUUUGUGGGGUGCUCGAGUGGCGAACGGGUGAGUAACACGUGAGUAACCUGCCCUUGACUUUGGGAUAACUUCAGGAAACUGGGGCUAAUACCGGAUAGGAGCUCCUGCUGCAUGGUGGGGGUUGGAAAGUUUCGGCGGGUGGGGAUGGACUCGCGGCUUAUCAGCUUGUUGGUGGGGUAGUGGCUUACCAAGGCUUUGACGGGUAGCCGGUCUGAGAGGGUGACCGGCCACAUUGGGACUGAGAUACGGCCCAGACUCCUACGGGAGGCAGCAGUGGGGAAUAUUGCACAAUGGGCGGAAGCCUGAUGCAGCAACGCCGCGUGCGGGAUGACGGCCUUCGGGUUGUAAACCGCUUUCGCCUGUGACGAAGCGUGAGUGACGGUAAUGGGUAAAGGAGCACCGGCUAACUACGUG